Long non-coding RNA from Trachymyrmex cornetzi, 606 nucleotides. RefSeq lists it as uncharacterized. NCBI's taxonomy places the organism in Eukaryota, Metazoa, Arthropoda, Insecta, Hymenoptera, Formicidae. The transcript is spliced from 3 exons. The record is from RefSeq and is a predicted model, not a curated record.
GGCAGGCGGCGCAGUAGUAGAAAAAUGGAGACAUGUUAAGACGAACGCAUUGUAAGACGCGCGAUACGAAGAAGACUGAGAAUAUAUGUAUCUUUUACCUGUCGUCUUGCGAGUCUAGUAAUUCCGAGUGUAAAACCCUUCCUGUCAAACCUCGUCCCGGUGGCUUCCCCGAAGAUCCGCGAAACUCACAACCACGAAAAAAAGCGUAGCGAAAACAAACGUUACAAUAUUUUAUAUAUUAACGUUAAAGUUGAUCAUUAUAAUUCAGGGCAAAGCGACAGAUUUUUCAUAUAGUGCAAAAAUUUCAUGUAGUGCAAAAAAAUACAUCGAAUGAGUCUAUUUUUUUUCCUCGAGGUGAGUUCUAACCAGCGGCGACGCAUCCGCCCGCGCCAGGACUAGCGGCGACGCAACCGCCCGCGUCAGGACCAGUGGAGACGUAGGACCUCAAACAACAAGAAAAACCCAGGCGUUGGCAGAAGAGCCGUGCCAGUCCAAACAGCGUCAGAUAUCGUCCCCAUAGGGAAGAUAGGAAAGAUAACCGACGCGGAGGCCGUGCAGGACGCGGAGACCGCGGAGGACGUGGAGGCCGCAGAGAACGUGGGAGGA